GACGUAGGGGGCGAGCGUUGUCCGGAGUCACUGGGCGUAAAGGGCGCGCAGGCGGUCGCGUGGGCCAUCGCGUGAAAGCCCCCGGCUCAACCGGGCGGUGGCGGGUGGGACCGCGCGGCUGGAGGGUGGUAGGGGCCGGUGGAAUUCCCGGUGUAGUGGUGAAAUGCGUAGAUAUCGAGAGGAACACCUGCGGCGAAGGCGGGUUGCUGGGCUGACACUGACGCUGAGGCGCGAAAGCUAGGGGAGCGAACGGG
RNAcentral lists this ribosomal RNA (254 nucleotides) under uncultured prokaryote. Its description in RNAcentral is "partial 16S ribosomal RNA". It matches the Rfam family "Bacterial small subunit ribosomal RNA", at positions 524 to 776 of the family's 1533-position model. The record is from RNAcentral.